UAUAUCAUCACCUCCGUCCUCAAAGUAACUGGAUUUUGGCUCUCUCUCUCUCUCUCUCUCUCUCUAGGUCGCCUGUGUCUCCUUAUCACUCUGUACGUCUCUCCUUCUCCCUCUUUCAUUCACUAAAAUAUGUGCCUCUUUCUCUCACUAAAAUAAAUGGAUGUUUGGUCCAAAAUCCUUUCUCUCUCUCUGUCUCCGUCUCCCCUCUCAUUAUUAGUCCUCUAAAACAAGUGGAUGCUAGGUUUAUUUAUUGUAAUAAUUCGGAGCCGUGCACAUUAUACGCAUUAUAGAAAGAUUCGAGCACCGUUGUUUCUGUCCAAAUUUCUCUGUAAUGUUAUUUGAGAUUAAUAAGUGGUAUGUUAAAUGACUUCCUACUUUUUCUUCACAUAUUUUCACUUCUCUAACAUGUUCUAUUUCGCUAUGAAUUCAAGAGGGGUCAAACAGUGAGAAAAAAAAAAAAUAGUCUCGCAGGGAUCAAUAAAAUAGUGUAAAAUCAACAAAAUUUCGAAAUGAUUUAGAAAGAGUCAAUCACAGGGAGAGAAGGAGGAGAAAAACAAAGUCCAAGUUAGCUUUCAAGAAAGAGAAAAAUAACAAAUGAAACAGCACAAACGCAUCUAUAUACACCAAUUAUUUUUAUUUUUUUUAGGUAAUUCGGUUGGGAUAAUGGUCCCUACCCGUUUUUUUAAAUUGUUAGUAGUUUUUGAACGUGUAAAGUGAGAAUAAAAGCCUAAACCGUUUUUUAAAAUCGUUAAUAGUUUUUUAAUAUGUAAAGUCAAAUUAAAAGCCUAAACUUUAGUUGGGAUACGUGUUACCAAUUUUAAAAAAAUUAAAAAGUUAAAAAAUCGCUUAAAAUAUGCUCCACUUUUGAAGAACUUUUAAAAAUGGGAAAAAGUUUAUAUAAGGUUGCAGCCUUAAAAUGUAGAAUUACAAAUGAAAAACUAAUGAAAACAUUGAGGCAAUUUUGAUGCCUUAAAGCUUGAGGGUGGUGCCUUAAAGCAUGAGGCAUUGUCAUAGUAAUGAAAAAAAAAAAAAUUACUUGAAUAAAAAAUAAUUAAAAUUUGGAUUGGUUGAAAGGUAAUUUUGUAGAAAAAUAAAAAAAAAGGUUGACUGACUUUCUUUUGUAAAUUCGGCAUAUAAAUAGAGCAUUUUGUAUUUUAUUUAUAAUUUUAUUGUCUGUACGUAAAUUAUUCAAACAAAAAGAAAAAAAAAAAAAGCUGCAACUUCUAUUCCCCAGACAUGUUCUGAUAUCUUAUAUCUCAAGUAUUCUUUUGCCUUCAUUUUUGCAUCCCAGGUCCUUUCUCACCAUCUCCCUAACUUUUUUUAAUUUCUUUGUCUCUAACCAUGACUUUUCUCUUUCCAAACCCUCUUCUUUCUUGUCAUGUCUUUUCCAUCUCAAACUCCUCUCUCUAACCUUACCCUCUUUUUUGUAAUUGUGUUAUUUUUCUCUCUGACUCCUUCCCAUUUAUCAUCAGCAUAAGAAGAAUCUGAAUCAUCUUUAGCGGUUAAAUGUAAAAUUCAAAAAAAUUCAAAAAAUAAAACAUGUCAUGUUUCGGUUUGGAUUUUUUUUUAAUAUUUUUUGAACACCACUAGUAGUACACCCCUGGCUAAUUUAGCUCUGGACUCAUCUUUAAAUCUUCUUUGAGGUCAAUUUGAAAAAUAACUACAUCGGAACUACAUAAAAAAUAAAAAA
Molecule: non-coding RNA, 1690 nt
Organism: Amborella trichopoda
Lineage: Eukaryota; Viridiplantae; Streptophyta; Magnoliopsida; Amborellales; Amborellaceae
Source: RefSeq, a predicted model, not a curated record